Molecule: ribosomal RNA, 219 nt
Filed under: uncultured bacterium
Lineage: Bacteria
Description: partial 16S ribosomal RNA
Rfam family: Bacterial small subunit ribosomal RNA
Source: RNAcentral
UACGGGGGGGGCAAGCGUUGUUCGGAAUUACUGGGCGUAAAGGGCUCGUAGGCGGCCAACUAAGUCAGACGUGAAAUCCCUCGGCUUAACCGGGGAACUGCGUCUGAUACUGGAUGGCUUGAAUCCGGAAGAGGAGAGUGGAAUUCCUGGUGAUAGCGGUGAAAUGACGCAGAUAUCAGGAAGAACACCCGUGGCGAAGGCGGCUCUCUGGGACGGUAC